AUACGGAGGGUGCAAGCGUUACUCGGAAUCACUGGGCGUAAAGCGCGCGCAGGCGGCUUGAUAAGUUGGAUGUGAAAGCCUACGGCUCAACCGUAGAACUGCAUCCAAAACUUUCAAGCUAGAGUCUGGGAGGGGAAGAUGGAAUUAGUUGUGUAGGGGUAAAAUCCGUAGAGAUAACUAGGAAUACCAAAAGCGAAGGCGAUCUUCUGGAACAGUACUGACGCUGAGGCGCGAAAGCGUGGGGAGCAAACAGGAUUAGAAACCCUUGUAGUCC
RNAcentral lists this ribosomal RNA (274 nucleotides) under uncultured bacterium. RNAcentral's name for it is "partial 16S ribosomal RNA". It matches the Rfam family "Bacterial small subunit ribosomal RNA", at positions 523 to 796 of the family's 1533-position model. The record is from RNAcentral.